UACGUGAGGAUGCGAGCGUUUGUCCGGAAUUAUUGGGCGUAAAGAGCUCGUAGGCGGCUUUGUCACGUCGGUUUGUGAAAAGCCCCGGGGGCUUAACCCCCGGGGUCUGCAGUCGAUACGGGCAGGCUAGAGUGUGGUAGGGGGAGAUCGGAAUUCCUGGUGUAGCGGUGAAAAUGCGCAGAUAUCAGGAGGAACACCGGUGGCGAAGGCGGAUCUCUGGGCCAUUACUGACGCUGAGGAGCGAAAGGCGUGGGGAGCGAACAGGAUUAGACUA
Molecule: ribosomal RNA, 274 nt
Filed under: uncultured bacterium
Lineage: Bacteria
Description: partial 16S ribosomal RNA
Rfam family: Bacterial small subunit ribosomal RNA
Source: RNAcentral